AUUAGUCUUUUAAUUGGAGAUUGGUAUGUAAGGUAUUAUACUUUGAAGAUAGUUUUAUAAAGAGUAAUUGAAUUUAAAUUAAAAAUAAAAAUGUUUUUAUGAAAUUCUGGGACGAGAAGUCCCUAGAAGCUUAAAAUUUAGUAAUUUUUGGUUGGGGCGAUUAACGAAGAUAGAGAUCUUUAUCGAAUAAAAUUGAGUUAUAGUGAAGUUACUCUCGGGGAUAACAGCGUAAUUUAAUUAAAGAGUUCUUCUUGAUAAUUAAAGUUUACGACCUACGAUGUUGAAUUAAAUGUAGAU
This 297-nucleotide ribosomal RNA is filed under the name Chapulobunus unispinosus. RNAcentral's name for it is "partial 16S ribosomal RNA". The record is from RNAcentral. Lineage: Eukaryota; Metazoa; Arthropoda; Arachnida; Opiliones; Stygnopsidae.